GACGAACGCUGGCGGCGUGCCUAAUACAUGCAAGUUGAGCGCUGAAGGUUGGUACUUGUACCGACUGGAUGAGCAGCGAACGGGUGAGUAACGCGUGGGGCAUCUGCCUUUGAGCGGGGGACAACAUUUGGAAACGAAUGCUAAUACCGCAUAAAAACUUUAAACACAAGUUUUAAGUUUGAAAGAUGCAAUUGCAUCACUCAAAGAUGAUCCCGCGGUGUAUUAGCUAGUUGGUGAGGUAAAGGCUCACCAAGGCGAUGAUACAUAGCCGACCUGAGAGGGUGAUCGGCCACAUUGGGACUGAGACACGGCCCAAACGCCUACGGGAGGCAGCAGUAGGGAAUCUUCGGCAAUGGACGAAAGUCUGACCGAGCAACGCCGCGUGAGUGAAGAAGGUUUUCGGAUCGUAAAACUCUGUUGGUAGAGAAGAACGUUGGUGAGAGUGGAAAGCUCAUCAAGUGACGGUAACUACCCAGAAAGGGACGGCUAACUACGUG
RNAcentral lists this ribosomal RNA (497 nucleotides) under uncultured bacterium. RNAcentral's name for it is "partial 16S ribosomal RNA". It matches the Rfam family "Bacterial small subunit ribosomal RNA", at positions 28 to 507 of the family's 1533-position model. The record is from RNAcentral.